Molecule: ribosomal RNA, 253 nt
Filed under: uncultured bacterium
Lineage: Bacteria
Description: partial 16S ribosomal RNA
Rfam family: Bacterial small subunit ribosomal RNA
Source: RNAcentral
UACGUAGGGUGCGAGCGUUAAUCGGAAUUACUGGGCGUAAAGCGUGCGCAGGCGGUUUGUUAAGACAGAUGUGAAAUCCCCGGGCUUAACCUGGGAACUGCAUUUGUGACUGGCAAGCUAGAGUAUGGAAGAGGGGGGUAGAAUUCCACGUGUAGCAGUGAAAUGCGUAGAGAUGUGGAGGAAUACCGAUGGCGAAGGCAGCCCCCUGGGCCAAUACUGACGCUCAUGCACGAAAGCGUGGGGAGCAAACAGG